UAAAACAACAACUAAAUGAUAAAGAUUUGAGUGACGAUAU
Molecule: non-coding RNA, 40 nt
Filed under: Trypanosoma brucei brucei
Lineage: Eukaryota; Euglenozoa; Kinetoplastea; Trypanosomatida; Trypanosomatidae
Source: RNAcentral